AUUAUAGGUUACGUGUACCACCAUUUCAUUUUUUUGUAUGCAUAUCGAACACGUCACAUCCAUUAAGAUAAAAAAAAAGUGUUUUCAACCUUCCUGUAAUCAAUCAUUCAGUUUUCAUUACUAAGCAAUACAAAGAUACGAGUAUUUUAUAGAGUUGCACAAAAAAAUCAAACAACUUUUUAAAGUUAACGCAAAGAUUUGCAACUCAAACGCGGAGUUCCUCGAAAAAAUUCUGUUUAAUCGGGCUAAAAUCGUUAACGUUGCAUAAUGUAACUAACAUUAGACAUGAAUUCAAGGAUUCUUGCACAAAUUAAACAGUUUUAUAAUCAAAACGUAAAAACUUCUUUAAAAUUAAAAAAAAAAGAAAUAAAACAUAAAUCAAACAACUUUGACAGCUAGGCAACAGCUGUUAAAGCGGCGAAAAAAAUCGUGCAGCACCUGCUCACAGGUUCUUAAAUUACAAUUAAAUAUUUUUUUUGUUAUACUUAUUGUAAAUUUUCCUAGCGCAAAUCACGCUUUUUUUGUAAUGCAAUUUACACUGAAAGCUUGAUAAUGGCAAUACAGCGUUAUCAACCGACUUUGUAACUAACCGACGCCUAGUACGGAUGUGCACUUGCAGAUAUCCCAAUUGGAACUAGCUAAUGACAAUAUGAAAAUGUAUUAUGUAAUGUAUUGUAUUGUAUUAUGUAAAUAAAUUUAAUAUAAUUAAUUUAUGCGA
This is a long non-coding RNA of Bactrocera neohumeralis, 718 nucleotides long. RefSeq lists it as uncharacterized. Lineage: Eukaryota; Metazoa; Arthropoda; Insecta; Diptera; Tephritidae. The record is from RefSeq and is a predicted model, not a curated record. The transcript is spliced from 2 exons.